AGAGUUUGAUCAUGGCUCAGGACGAACGCUGGCGGCGCGCUUAACACAUGCAAGUCGAGCGAGAACCUGGGCUUCGGCCCUGGGGACAGCGGCGAACGGGUGAGUAACACGUGGGUAAUCUGCCCUUGACAUCGGGAUAGCCCGGGGAAACCCGGAUUAAUACCGAAUAGCCUCCGGAGCCUUCGGGCGCCGGAGAAAAGGUAGCUUCGGCCUCUGGUCAAGGAUGAGCCCGCGGCGGAUUAGCUUGUUGGCGGGGUAACGGCCCACCAAGGCGACGAUCCGUAGCUGGUCUGAGAGGACGAUCAGCCACACUGGGACUGAGACACGGCCCAGACUCCUACGGGAGGCAGCAGUGGGGAAUCUUGCGCUAAUGCGGGAAACCGUGACGCAGCGACGCCGCGUGGGGGAAGAAGGCCUUCGGGUUGUAAACCUCUUUCAGGAGGGACGAAGCUACUCGGGUUAAUAGCCCAGAGGGUGACGGUACCUUCAGAAGAAGCCCCGGCUAACUACGUGCCAGCAGCCGCGGUA
RNAcentral lists this ribosomal RNA (528 nucleotides) under uncultured Actinomycetes bacterium. Its description in RNAcentral is "bacterial SSU rRNA". It matches the Rfam family "Bacterial small subunit ribosomal RNA", at positions 8 to 522 of the family's 1533-position model. Lineage: Bacteria; Bacillati; Actinomycetota; Actinomycetes. The record is from RNAcentral.